Spea bombifrons (plains spadefoot toad) is the source of this 464-nucleotide long non-coding RNA. RefSeq lists it as uncharacterized. Lineage: Eukaryota; Metazoa; Chordata; Amphibia; Anura; Pelobatidae. The transcript is spliced from 2 exons. The record is from RefSeq and is a predicted model, not a curated record.
CACAUUCACUGUAAGAGCGUUGAGGGCUUUUAUUCUAGAGAGCAGAAGGCGAAAUCGAGACGAGUGUCUGGAGCUCAGCCAUGUGCUUCGAUAUGACUCUGGAAGAUUGAUUGCCUGCCGGUUUCCAGCAUCUGAAGCUUUCCUUGCUCUUCCUUCAAAAAGACCUCUACCAUGAGCACCUUCUCUCUAUGAAUCUGUUCGCUGAUAUCUUUGGGAAUGUCUGGAAUUAUCCAGUCCACAAAUUCACUCAUGAACAUCACCAAGUUCUGCAAGAGGAGUACGAGAAAAAUGAGAAAAGAGCACAGUUUCUAACCUACCUCAAGCAAAAAGCUCAUGGCUAGUAAGCCUGUGCCUAAAGAAUAACGCCCAAUGUUCUUUAUUACUAGUAGCAGAUUAAAUAUUAUAUGGUUUUCUAUUUUAAAGAUUUUUGCAUUUUAUAAACGUUUUCAGGCAGUUGUAUAUUA